Molecule: ribosomal RNA, 460 nt
Filed under: uncultured bacterium
Lineage: Bacteria
Description: bacterial SSU rRNA
Rfam family: Bacterial small subunit ribosomal RNA
Source: RNAcentral
CCUANGGGAGGCAGCAGUAAGGAAUAUUGGACAAUGGUCGAAAGACUGAUCCAGCCAUGCCGCGUGAAGGAUGAAGGCCCUAUGGGUUGUAAACUUCUUUUGUAUGGGAAAAAACCUCUCUACGUGUAGAGAGCUGAUUGUACCAUAAGAAUAAGGAUCGGCUAACUCCGUGCCAGCAGCCGCGGUAAUACGGAGGAUCCAAGCGUUAUCCGGAUUCAUUGGGUUUAAAGGGUGCGUAGGCGGAAUGAUAAGUCAGUGGUGAAAGCCUGCAGCUUAACUGCAGAACUGCCAUUGAUACUGUCAAUCUUGAGUACAUUUGAUGUGGGCGGAAUGUGUCAUGUAGCGGUGAAAUGCUUAGAUAUGACACAGAACACCGAUUGCGAAGGCAGCUCACAAAACUGUAACUGACGCUGAGGCACGAAAGCGUGGGUAUCAAACAGGAUUAGAUACCCUUNUANUA